RNAcentral lists this microRNA precursor (78 nucleotides) under Schistosoma mattheei. RNAcentral's name for it is "mir-3492 microRNA precursor family". It matches the Rfam family "mir-3492 microRNA precursor family". Lineage: Eukaryota; Metazoa; Platyhelminthes; Trematoda; Strigeidida; Schistosomatidae. The record is from Rfam by way of RNAcentral.
UGCCUUAUGUAUUUGUGCUGAGAUUUCGUCGCACACCAGACCGCAAGGUCUGAUGAAACUUCCAAGAUAAGUGAAGCG